UCGAGAAUUUUUCACAAUGGACGAAAGUCUGAUGGAGCGACGCCGCGUGGAGGAUGAAGGUUUUCGGAUUGUAAACUCCUGUCACUGCAGAACAAGGGUGUGUUAGUUAACAGCCAACACAUUUGAUGGUAUGCGGAGAGGAAGGGACGGCUAACUCUGUGCCAGCAGCCGCGGUAAGACAGAGGUCCCGAGCGUUGUUCGGAUUCAUUGGGCGUAAAGGGUGUGUAGGAGGCCAGGUAAGUCAGGUGUGAAAUCUCAGAGCUUAACUCUGAAACUGCGCUUGAUACUGCUUGGCUAGAGGAUCGGAGGGGGUAACGGAAUUUAUGGUGUAGCAGUGAAAUGCGUAGAUAUCAUAAGGAACACCGGUGGCGAAGGCGGUUACCUGGAAGAUUCCUGACUCUGAAACACGAAAGCCAGGGGAGCAAACGGGAUUAGAUACCCGCGUAGUCC
RNAcentral lists this ribosomal RNA (450 nucleotides) under uncultured bacterium. Its description in RNAcentral is "bacterial SSU rRNA". It matches the Rfam family "Bacterial small subunit ribosomal RNA", at positions 355 to 796 of the family's 1533-position model. The record is from RNAcentral.